AGUGAGAUAGCUGGGUCAAAUGGUGGUUCCAUUCCCAGCUUUCCAAGCAAUUUCCAUACUACUUUCCAGAUUGGCUGCAAGAAUUUGCAGUCCCACUAGCAAU
RNAcentral lists this microRNA precursor (103 nucleotides) under Marmota monax (woodchuck). The record is from RNAcentral. Lineage: Eukaryota; Metazoa; Chordata; Mammalia; Rodentia; Sciuridae.